Molecule: ribosomal RNA, 300 nt
Filed under: uncultured Halosimplex sp.
Lineage: Archaea; Methanobacteriati; Methanobacteriota; Halobacteria; Halobacteriales; Haloarculaceae
Description: bacterial SSU rRNA
Rfam family: Bacterial small subunit ribosomal RNA (bases 52-300)
Source: RNAcentral
GCGAAGGGCGGGAGGGGUGGCGAGGGAGUACGUAGGGUGCAGAGGGGGUGCGGAAUGGUUGGGCGUAAAGCGCGGGCCGGGUGUCCUGUAAGUGUGAUGUGAAAGCCCACGGGUCAACCGUGGAGGGUGAGUGGAAACUGGGGGACUUGAGUGCAGAAGAGGAAAGCGGAAUUCCACGUGUAGCGGUGAAAUGCGUAGAGAUGUGGAGGAACACCAGUGGCGAAGGCGGCUUUCUGGUCUGUAACUGACGCUGAGGCGCGAAAGCGUGGGGAGCAAACAGGAUUAGAUACCCCUGUAGUC